This 305-nucleotide long non-coding RNA is filed under the name Gallus gallus (chicken). Lineage: Eukaryota; Metazoa; Chordata; Aves; Galliformes; Phasianidae. The record is from RNAcentral.
ACGAAGUUUGCUGUCAUCUGCUGGAUUUGGUACUCAGAGAAGGCCUGUUGGAGAGAAAGCUCAUUGGGAAAAGCACUCUCAAUGUCCUCAUCCUCACUGGAAGAGUGCAGAUGGUGAGUGCUCACCAAAUCCACCGUGUUCCUCCUGUUUGUUUCUGUCAGUGUCUCUUCUACAAAGCUCUCCCAUCUCCCUCUGCAGUCCUCAGGUAGCUCUUUGAUGAACUCAGUGAUCUGGGUGUGCAUGGGGCCCUUCUCCAUGUUCUGCACCACGGCGUUGGCGAUGCGGGUGAGGUGGCCCAUGUUGCC